GACGAACGCUGGCGGCGUGCUUAACACAUGCAAGUCGAACGGAAAGGCCUCUUUCGGGGGGUACUCGAGUGGCGAACGGGUGAGCAACACGUGAGUAACCUGCCCUUGACUUUGGGAUAACUUCAGGAAACUGGGGCUAAUACCGGAUAGGAGCUCCUGCUGCAUGGUGGGGGUUGGAAAGUUUCGGCGGUUGGGGAUGGACUCGCGGCUUAUCAGCUUGUUGGUGGGGUAGUGGCUUACCAAGGCUUUGACGGGUAGCCGGCCUGAGAGGGUGACCGGCCACAUUGGGACUGAGAUACGGCCCAGACUCCUACGGGAGGCAGCAGUGGGGAAUAUUGCACAAUGGGUGGAAGCCUGAUGCAGCAACGCCGUGUGCGGGAUGACGGCCUUCGGGUUGUAAACCGCUUUCGCUCAUGACGAAGCUUUGUGUGACGGUAAUGGGUAAAGAAGCACCGGCUAACUACGUG
RNAcentral lists this ribosomal RNA (467 nucleotides) under uncultured bacterium. RNAcentral describes it as "partial 16S ribosomal RNA". It matches the Rfam family "Bacterial small subunit ribosomal RNA", at positions 28 to 507 of the family's 1533-position model. The record is from RNAcentral.